GACGAACGCUGGCGGCGUGCUUAACACAUGCAAGUCGAACGGAAAGGCCCUGCUUUUGUGGGGUGCUCGAGUGGCGAACGGGUGAGUAACACGUGAGUAACCUGCCCUUGACUUUGGGAUAACUUCAGGAAACUGGGGCUAAUACCGGAUAGGAGCUCCUGCUGCAUGGUGGGGGUUGGAAAGUUUCGGCGGUUGGGGAUGGACUCGCGGCUUAUCAGCUUGUUGGUGCGGUAGUGGCUUACCAAGGCUUUGACGGGUAGCCGGCCUGAGAGGGUGACCGGCCACAUUGGGACUGAGAUACGGCCCAGACUCCUACGGGAGGCAGCAGUGGGGAAUAUUGCACAAUGGGCGGAAGCCUGAUGCAGCAACGCCGCGUGCGGGAUGACGGCCUUCGGGUUGUAAACCGCUUUCGCCUGUGACGAAGCGUGAGUGACGGUAAUGGGUAAAGAAGCACCGGCUAACUACGUG
RNAcentral lists this ribosomal RNA (468 nucleotides) under uncultured bacterium. RNAcentral's name for it is "partial 16S ribosomal RNA". It matches the Rfam family "Bacterial small subunit ribosomal RNA", at positions 28 to 507 of the family's 1533-position model. The record is from RNAcentral.